UACACCCAGCCUACUAGUGACAGUGCCUCACUGCUAAAAGCAAUGGCUACUUAGAAAGAACAUGAAAGUAAAGCUAAACAAUAAUGUUUUGAAUAAUGUUUUAAGUGUUGAUAGAAGCAAGUGUUAUUAUUAGUAAAUAUAACUUACUUACACAGAAACCACAGAGAGCACUGCAGGCUGUGAGGGGAGGUCAGCUAGUGAAAGGAGUGGCUGCUAAGCUAAACACUAAAACAGCUAGGUUAGCAUUAACCAGCCACGGUUAGCUACAAACUCUUCAGCUAGCUAAUUCCACACUGUGCCAAGAGGACACUGCUCUGUUUUGGGUCAGCUUCUCACAGUGAAAGGAUGGACACGAACACCUGUUGACCUUCCAAAUCUGAAAUGCUGGAAAAACAACAACGCACACUUCACCCCUCCCCUCCCCAGCUGUAAUGGAGACGUGGAAGCACACUUUGUUCAGGAGCUUCUGUUGAAACCACCAGAAUUUCUGCUCUCACUCCAGAGGGAUUAGCAUCCUUAAGCCCGCGUUGGAGCUCCAGCCGGCCAAGAGCAAACAAACAAGUAAAAAAAGGAUUUCCAUACACACAGCUGCCCAGUCACGCAGGAUACACACCACAGCACAUCAGUCUGUGUGACUGAUUGUCAUCACGCACCUGUAGAACGUCUGAUCUUUACCUGCAUUACAGUCCCGGAGUUAUAUCAGCUUUUACAAAUGGGACUGUAUGAUCAAUAGCUGAAUUUAUUAAUAACUAAUUAAUGCUCAUAUAAAAAUCUUAAUUCUUGGCAAAAUAUUCUGUGAAUUUAUAGUUAAUAGGUAAAUAUUAUUGGGAGUUGUUAUCAGCGAGCUUACAUAUCAUUUAAAUAGG
Astyanax mexicanus (Mexican tetra) is the source of this 866-nucleotide long non-coding RNA. RefSeq lists it as uncharacterized. The transcript has 3 exons. The record is from RefSeq and is a predicted model, not a curated record. NCBI's taxonomy places the organism in Eukaryota, Metazoa, Chordata, Actinopteri, Characiformes, Acestrorhamphidae.